AGUUCACACAUGAAAAUGGUUUUUCCCCAGUGUGAAUCCUCAUGUGAGCAUCAAAAACAGAUUUGAAAGGGAAACGUUUUUCACAGAUGACACAUAAGAAAAUCUUGCAUCUUUCCUGAUUCUGGUUCUCAGCUUCACCAGCUUCCUGGAAGAUGUCUUGGUUCCUGUUUGGUUCCGAUUCCGUUUGGUUUGUUUGCUCAUCAACAGGAACCACCAUGCAGAGGUUCAAACUCCUCCUGGUCCAGAGUGGAUCUUCUCUCUUGGUUAAACUGCAGGGAACCUGGAGAAGAAAACAGAGAAAAAGAGUUAUUGUUAACUUUAUUGAAGUAAGUAGGAGAAAUCUUUCAUCGUUUAAAACAGAAAUCAACAAAAAAAAAA
Poecilia latipinna (sailfin molly) is the source of this 378-nucleotide long non-coding RNA. RefSeq lists it as uncharacterized. The transcript is spliced from 2 exons. The record is from RefSeq and is a predicted model, not a curated record. NCBI's taxonomy places the organism in Eukaryota, Metazoa, Chordata, Actinopteri, Cyprinodontiformes, Poeciliidae.